UACAGAGGUCCCGAGCGUUGUUCGGAUUCAUUGGGCGUAAAGGGUGCGCAGGCGGCGGGGCAAGUCUGAUGUGAAAUCCCGGGGCUCAACCCCGGAACUGCAUUGGAUACUGCCUUGCUUGAGUACUGGAGAGGAGACUGGAAUUUACGGUGUAGCAGUGAAAUGCGUAGAUAUCGUAAGGAAGGCCAGUGGCGAAGGCGAGUCUCUGGACAGUAACUGACGCUGAGGCACGAAGGCCAGGGGAGCAAACGGG
This 253-nucleotide ribosomal RNA is filed under the name uncultured bacterium. RNAcentral describes it as "partial 16S ribosomal RNA". It matches the Rfam family "Bacterial small subunit ribosomal RNA", at positions 524 to 776 of the family's 1533-position model. The record is from RNAcentral.